CUGACCAUCAGCAUUGGGCUGCAUUUUCCGGACAACAUCUAGGUCCUCACUCUGGCUUGGGGACCACCGUGUGCUGUGGAAGGGAAAAAGUUAAGCCUCUCCGUGGGACCACAGCCCUGCUAGAGCCUUGUCCACGAGCAGUGACGGCUAAGGCAGAGGACCGGCUAGGUGUUCAUGGACAGAGGGAGAGAUAAAGGAAGUGUGGCAUACAGUGGUCCAGCCGCAAAGAGAGACAAGGAAAUCUCCACGCCACAAUGGUUUGGAAAAUACAUUUCCAGUGAUUAGAUGUACCUUGGUUGGUAUCAGCUGAGAAGAGAACCGUGACAUCACGGAGAGGAGGCAGCACAAGGCCACCGAAGAGGCUGGAACAUUCUGGAAGAGAACUCCAGAUACCAUUUAUAGGUUAUUGGGUAACCAAUUAGAGACCUCAGAGUGUCAUCUCAGGAAGAGUGACAGAGUGUUACAAGCUGAAGGAUCGAGUACUAGCAUGGCCUCCAAGCUGGCAGCAGGUUCACACGACACUCCCUUCUGAGAAGCAGUGUUAACCUGAUACAAUCAUCACUACUCGGCUGCCGCACAUCGAUGCUGGAAUUGCACAGAAUUUUUAUCCAUAGCAGGGAACGUUCUUGAACUCCCAGGCUUGGGGAUGCUCAGAACAGGUUGGGGGAGCAGUGCAGUGAGGUAGUUGUGUCCAUAGCAUGGCUGUGAAGGGCUGGGUUCAAGGGUGGGUUUCCCAUCCACCCACCCACACCAACAGCCUGGCCUAGGUUCACACAGCAGGACGCUAUGCUCACAAGUGCCUAACCCAGCAGCAGCCUGCCUCCAAGCAGCUUCGAAGGACAGGGAUCAUCACUCCUUUCAAAUCAAGACAAGCGAGAGAUGCCACCCAGCGCAGCAGAGAUGUUUGGUGAUCCAGCUUUGCCAGCCAUGUGGCCAGGAGACCAUUUAGGUUAGUGUCUGCCGUGGUAAGCCAGCACACCAUGACAGCUGAGUCCUCAAGAGCCCAGUGGCCCAUUCUCAACGCUGCCUCCGUAUACAUUCCUUCCUUCCAAAGUCAGAUAAACGAAGACAGUACGGGACACGUCUGGAUGACCAUAGUCACAGAUGCUUUCAAAUGAAGUCUCUGGUCAUCCAAAUCCCUCCACUUCCAGUUGGGUUUGACUUUAGAGGAAAGGGACCUGCUGCUGGCCUGGCUCUAUUUACUACGGAAGACGGAAACACUUCCGAACAAGAGCGUAAGCAGCUGGUGUGACACACAUAACCGAGUCCAAGAAGGCACUCCAAGCUCGAAAACAAGGCCAGGGCAAACUGGGGCGACAGGGAUGGACUAGCUAGCCUUGGAUAUCUCAAGUCUCUCUGAGCCCACUUCAGACUAUGCCUGCAGACAUUGGACCUGGGGUGGCAUGCACGUGUGUGUGUGGGGGUGUGCUGGGCAAGUUCUAGGUCCCGAGGAAGACAUGUCCCCGUCUGGCCUCUCGGUCUAGGGCUGCGGUCUAGGGCUGCAGGUGUACAAGGGUCCCUCCCCUACUCUGAAUAGCCCCAGCCAGUGUUCCCAACAGGACACCACUGCGGAGUGCUGCUACCAUGCCAACAGUGACAACAGACACCACUGUCCUGGUUUUUCCCUCCUGAAUUUGCAGUUCUCAGUUCACAGACAAAAGGAGCCCUCCUCUGACAACCAGACACUCGGAGCCUUUCCAGGGCCCAGAAAGUCCGCCUCGGUACGACACUUGUCAAACGUUAAAAGAAUCACUAGGGUCGGCUAGCUUCUUCCCCUGUUUUGUUCUGGAGAGAGACUCUGCUUUCUCUUCUCUCGCUACUGAAUGAAAGUGGGCAGGUCACUGGUGUGGUUUCUCUCGGUAAGUUCGUUUAUUAAUUGUACAAAAGAAACCAAAAAAAAAAUAAAACGAAACAAAAAACCCCUUGGCAUUC
Molecule: long non-coding RNA, 1932 nt
Organism: Peromyscus eremicus (cactus mouse)
Lineage: Eukaryota; Metazoa; Chordata; Mammalia; Rodentia; Cricetidae
Exons: 3
Source: RefSeq, a predicted model, not a curated record